RNAcentral lists this long non-coding RNA (1387 nucleotides) under Betta splendens (Siamese fighting fish). RNAcentral's name for it is "lncRNA (ENSBSLG00000013805.1)". The record is from RNAcentral. Lineage: Eukaryota; Metazoa; Chordata; Actinopteri; Anabantiformes; Osphronemidae.
AACACAUUGUUUGUUAAUGACGCAAUGUUGAGCCUGGGUUUGGUCAAGAUAUGACUCAGUAGAUCUGCAUGGAGCUUAGCAAUUCUAGAAGAAUUGAAGUUGGGGUCCUGAGCUUUGGAUUUGAGCGUCAAAGCAACUGGUCGCCAGUGAGAAGCAAUGAAGCUGAUGAAGAUGAAGCUGAUUCUGUUUCUCUCUCUCGCCUGGAUGAUCUGCAACACAGGUAACUGGGCUCACAGAUUUGUGCAGGUACAAGAAGUUCUAACUGCAUGUUUAGAGAGUGUGUGUGUGUGUGUGUGUGUGUGUGUGUGUGUGUGGCUCUCACACAGAUAAGGUCACACAGAGUCACUUAUUAUCUUACUGUCUGUUCCUCGUGGCAGCAGAAACUCUCCGGUGUUUCAAAGGUUUUGGUCCUGGUGUUCUUGGCCCGUGUCACUUUGCUGGUGAUUGGUGUGCAACUUUUACAAUUACUUCAGCUUUUGAAGGAAGUCCUGCAAAAGAUGUUGAGAGGUCGUGUCUGCCGUCUUUUCUUUGUUCUGCACCCAAUCAGUUUUUGUCCUUCAGUAACGCAAAGUUGUCUUUAGCUGAACAUCUUCACUGCUGCAAAACAGGCGGCUGCAACCACCAGGAUUUCCCAUAUCCAGAACUCGGCAAACCAAACGGCCUCAAGUGUUUGACCUGCACUGGUUUGGGUCCUGAUCAUGUGUGUAACAGCACCGUGGAGUGUGUGGGAACACAGGACCGCUGCGUAGACGUCUACGUGAAACAUGGACACGAAGUUGCUCCUUACGCUGGCUGUGUUUCUUCAAACGCGUGUGAUUUGGUUUCUCAGUUGAAAUUCCGACAGGAUUUUGCUGCUCGUUUUAAAUACACCAUUACACCACGAGUUGCAGGAAGCAGCUUCUGCAGCUCCGCUCACAUUACACCAAGCUUUACAGGAAGCAGCUUCUGCAGCUCUGCCCAGGUUUGUCAUUAUCAACCCUGAUGUUGCUGCUUUGCUGCUUGGUUUGUUCACUAUGUUCGUUUUUCAGAACCACUGUUAAACUCAAGAUCAGACUUUAUUAAUCCCACGAUGGGGAAAUUCGUUUGUUUGCAGCAGCGAUAUAACAUUGAACAAAAACAGUCAAAAACAAGAUAGAAACAAACAAUAUUAAGAUGUACAAGAAAAGACAAGGCACUCGACUAAAACUGAAAAAUACAGAAAGAGCACGUCUCAUCUUAUUAUGCUCUGCUUAUAUGAUCUUAUUUCUGUUUUGAAUCUGUAUGAUGAUGCUGUAAUCAAAUCAUGGUUUUUGCAAAUUUUUCAAAUCCUGUCAAACAUUCUUCUGCGUCUCAUAUUAAAGCUUAAACUUCUUCAAUAAAGCCUUUUCAUAUUCAGUUUCUGAUCCCA